This 449-nucleotide ribosomal RNA is filed under the name uncultured bacterium. Its description in RNAcentral is "partial 16S ribosomal RNA". It matches the Rfam family "Bacterial small subunit ribosomal RNA", at positions 354 to 796 of the family's 1533-position model. The record is from RNAcentral.
GUGGGGAAUAUUGGACAAUGGGCGAAAGCCUGAUCCAGCCAUGCCGCGUGUGUGAAGAAGGUCUUCGGAUUGUAAAGCACUUUAAGUUGGGAGGAAGGGCAGUAAGUUAAUACCUUGCUGUUUUGACGUUACCGACAGAAUAAGCACCGGCUAACUUCGUGCCAGCAGCCGCGGUAAUACGAAGGGUGCAAGCGUUAAUCGGAAUUACUGGGCGUAAAGCGCGCGUAGGUGGUUUUGAAGUUGGAGGUGAAAUCCCCGGGCUCAACCUGGGAACUGCCUCCAAAACUGCAUGACUAGAGUACGGUAGAGGGUAGUGGAAUUUCCUGUGUAGCGGUGAAAUGCGUAGAUAUAGGAAGGAACACCAGUGGCGAAGGCGACUACCUGGACUGAUACUGACACUGAGGUGCGAAAGCGUGGGGAGCAAACAGGAUUAGAUACCCCGGUAGUCC